CACCUCUAUUUCUUUCGCAAGAGCUUUGUUCAAGAAACAGACUGAAAAUCAAUAAGCAAACGCCAAUCAGAUCAUAACAGUCCCAAGAAACAGAUCAUAAUACAUUGCAGAAAGAGUAAAAAACUUGAAAAUCUAUUAUUAUCUACUCAAUUAAUCGUGGAAAACUAAAGAAACAGGUUGAAAAUCAUUAAGCACAAGUGAAAACAAAAAAAUAAGCAGAGUUUCCUCCAAGAAAAAGCCAUCAGCAGCCUAGUAAAAAAACCUCCUGGUCACCGGAAUCUCCGGGGGCGGCGGACGGACCUCAGCGGCGGGGACAAUCUCUCUUAACGGACCUGACAUGUCAUCCUUCAAUAGAGUAUGAUACUGCACCAUGUAUUCUUUCCUUAACUGCCCCGUCGCCACCACUGUUGCCUCAUAGUAAGAUCCAAGAAAGCCUUCUUCAUUGCUGGUUAUUUCCACAACUUCACCAGCCCUAUGAAACUUCAUCGUUUUCUCUUCGGAAAUUGAAAUUGGAUUCAAAAUUUUGGGUAUUCUCUAGAUAGAGAAACGGUUCGAUGUUUGUAUUGAGAUAUUACUGUAUAUGUAGGGGUUUUUAUUAGUUAUUACGCUUUUGGAGUUGGGGUUGGAAUCAGGAAAG
RNAcentral lists this long non-coding RNA (637 nucleotides) under Olea europaea subsp. europaea. The record is from RNAcentral. Lineage: Eukaryota; Viridiplantae; Streptophyta; Magnoliopsida; Lamiales; Oleaceae.